Molecule: ribosomal RNA, 1376 nt
Filed under: metagenome
Description: bacterial SSU rRNA
Rfam family: Bacterial small subunit ribosomal RNA
Source: RNAcentral
AGAAUAUAGAGGUAGCUUGCUAUUUUUAUAUAAAAGCGGCAAACGGGUGAGUAACACGUUGGUAUCUGCCCUCUACUCAGGAAUAAACUCGAGAAAUCGAGUCUAAUACCGGAUGGUCCCGAAAGGGUAAAGCUUCGGCGGUAGAGGAGGAGCCUGCGGCCUAUCAGCUUGUUGGUGAGGUAAUGGCUUACCAAGGCUAUGACGGGUAGCUGGUCUGAGAGGACGACCAGUCACAAUGGGACUGAGACACGGCCCAUACUCCUACGGGAGGCAGCAGUGAGGAAUUUUCCGCAAUGGCCGAAAGGCUGACGGAGCGACACAGCGUGAAGGAUGAAGGUUCUAGGAUUGUAAACUUCUUUUCUGGGGGACUAAGGUCUGAAUUUACCUCAGGAAUAAGCACCGGCUAACUACGUGCCAGCAGCCGCGGUAAUACGUAGGGUGCGAGCGUUAUUCGGAAUUAUUGGGCGUAAAGCGUCUGUAGGCGGCGUGUUAAGUAAAGGAUUAAAUCAACGGGCCCAACUCGUUGGCUGUUCUUUAAACUGACAUGCUAGAAGUAAGGAGGGGCAUUUGGAAUUCCUGGUGUAGGGGUAAAAUCCGUAGAUAUCAGGAGGAACGCUAAAAGCGAAGGCAGAAUGCUGGACUUACUUGACGCUGAGAGACGAAAGCGUGGGGAGCAAACAGGAUUAGAUACCCUGGUAGUCCACGCCGUAAACGAUGGAUACUAGAUGUUGGAGGUUCGACCCCUUCAGUGUCGUAGCUAACGCGUUAAGUAUCCCGCCUGGGGAUUACGAUCGCAAGAUUAAAACUCAAAGGAAUAGACGGGGACCCACACAAGCGGUGGAGCAUGUUGUUUAAUUCGACACAACACGGGGAACCUUACCAAGACUUGACAUCCCGAGAACCCUGAAGAAAUUCGGGGGUGCCGCAAGGAACUCGGUGACAGGUGCUGCAUGGUUGUCGUCAGCUCGUGCCUUGAGGUGUUCGGUUAAGUCCGUGAACGAGCGCAACCCUCGUCCUAAGUUACAUUUUCUUAGGAGACUGCCUGUGUUAAGCAGGAGGAAGGUGAGGAUGACGUCAAAUCAGCAUGGCCCUUAUGUCUUGGGCUACUAACAUGCUACAAUGGGAUGUACAAUGGGUUGCUAAGUCGUAAGAUGGAGCUAAUCCCAACAAAGCAUCUCUCAGUUCGGAUUGAGGGCUGAAACUCGACCUCAUGAAGUUGGAAUCGCUAGUAAUCGUGAAUCAGAUAUGUCACGGUGAAUAUGUUCCUGGGUCUUGUACUCACCGCCCGUCAAGUCAUGGAAAUUAAUAGCGCCCGAAGUCUCACAUUGGUGGGCCUAAGGUGAAAUUAGUAACUGGGACUAAGUCGUAACAAGGUA